Molecule: long non-coding RNA, 1721 nt
Organism: Canis lupus familiaris (dog)
Lineage: Eukaryota; Metazoa; Chordata; Mammalia; Carnivora; Canidae
Exons: 2
Source: RefSeq, a predicted model, not a curated record
AAGCCCGGCGUCCAAGUGGGGACGCGGUUUUCCCAGGGACCCCCUCCCCUCCUGAGUUUAAAGUGCAGAAAGAGGGGGGCGAGGCGCUGGGGGUCUGGAAGUGGAAGUGGGGGGGGCAGGCUGCGUCUCCGCGGGCCCCGAUAAAGUGGCCGUUCGCGGGCCGGCAGCGCUGUGAUUAGAAUAUGAAUGGGGCUCGGCAGGCGGAAGAGAAAGGCGGAUUACCCCGGGUGCUUUGACCAUGGACAGAGGCAGCCCGGCCCGGCCGCGGAAGGGGCGGGGUAGGCGGGCGGGGUCCCUAAGGCCCGGCGAGGGGGUCUCUAACCCGGGACCCGAGCCGGCGCGCCUUCCCGCGGUCCCUCGCGGAGCCCCCGUCCUGCGCUCCACGGAGGGCCAAGUGGGACAGGGUUGGGGGCCCGCAGGGGCCAGCACGUGCCGAGUUAAGGUCCGGGUGCGGGAGGAGGAAGGAGGCGGCGGCGCCGAGUGCGGGCUGCGCAGAGCCUGAGGCUGGCCUGUUUCAGAGCCCUGGGUUCGAAUUUCGACUCGGAACUUUGUUCACAGGGCCCCGAGCAGAGGCAGGCAUUCUUUCCAGCUGCGACGGUUGGCGACCGGGCAAGCGGUCGAUGGAAACCGGUGGCGACCGAAGGCGAAGGCGGCGGUGUCGCGGCGGUGAGGACGGCGGGAUUCGGAGUCAGAAGAUCUGAGCGGCUGGAGCCACCGCCCGCAUCCUCGAUUUCUCCCAGAGCCAAAUGCGGCGAAUGAUAAAAGCCUCCUUCAGCCGCCUGCAGGGCCCAAUCCGAGGUAGAAGAUUGGGCAGGAGCUUGAGCAGGUGCAUGCAGGUGUUGGUGGACACCUGGGCAAUUUUUGAGGGAUGCUGGCGGCCAAGGUGGUCUGUUGUUAUUAUUCGUAUUUUAAUUAUACCCGAAAAAUGGAUGUGGGGUGAGGUGGGGUGAGCCGGACUGGCAAGAAAAGUGAGGAGAAAGAACUUGCUUGCAAGUGGGCCCUGCAGGGCUGGUGCGUGCGGGUUCCGCCCUGUGUAAUCUAACCUGGAAUGGCACCAGCUCUUCCCCCUGACAGUGCUGCAGAAACGGGGAGCUCAAAGAAAUGCAAAUAAGCAGAUAGUCAUUCAUUCCUUGGCAAUUUUUAUUGCACACCUACUAUGUGCCCACCAGUAGUUGAUCUAGGAGCUGUGGAUACAGCACUGAAGAAAGUAGACUUAAAAAAAAAUAUCCUGCCUUCCUGGAACUUAUAUUGGAAUGAAGGGGAAUAGCUAAUAGGUAAAAUACAUAAUUAGAUUGUAUAGGUUGUCCAAUGAUGAGUGCUAUGUAGCAGGUGGGACCAGGGAGGACCUCUCUGAAGUGGUCACACUUGCGUUUAUUUUUAUUUUAAUUUUUAAAAAUGUUUUGUUUAUUUAUUCAUGAGAGACACUCACAGAGAGGCAGAGACACAGGCAGAGGGAGAAGCAGGCUCCCUGCAGGGAGCCCGAUGUGGGACUCAAUCCCAGGACCCCAGGAUCAUGCCCUGAGGGAGAAGCAGAUGCUUAACCACUGAGCCACCCAGGUGCGCACCCUUGAGUUUAAAAACAAAGCUAUCCUAUGGGCUACUAACAUGGUGUGUUGACUAGUGGAAAUUCACUGAGCUGUGUACACUCAUGAUUUUAUGCGUUUUUCUGAAUGUAUUUCAAACCUCAAUAAAAUGUUUGUUCACGUUCAAUAACAUCGUAA